GCGGGGGUGCCCGAGCUAGGUCAAAGGGGGCGGACAGCAUAAGUCCCGUAUUGAGGCUCCGCUGGGGAAGCCCUGCCCGGGUUCGAAUCCCGGCCCCCGCA
RNAcentral lists this transfer RNA (101 nucleotides) under Thermofilum sp. ex4484_82. RNAcentral's name for it is "tRNA-OTHER". It matches the Rfam family "tRNA". From Rfam's summary of the family: Transfer RNA (tRNA) molecules are approximately 80 nucleotides in length. Their secondary structure includes four short double-helical elements and three loops (D, anti-codon, and T loops). The record is from RNAcentral. RNAcentral also lists the same sequence under 4 other names. Lineage: Archaea; Thermoproteati; Thermoproteota; Thermoprotei; Thermofilales; Thermofilaceae.